RNAcentral lists this long non-coding RNA (361 nucleotides) under Parus major (Great Tit). RNAcentral's name for it is "lncRNA (ENSPMJG00000003536.1)". The record is from RNAcentral. Lineage: Eukaryota; Metazoa; Chordata; Aves; Passeriformes; Paridae.
AUUUUUCCUGUGUUUGAGCAAACUUUGCCUCAGCUGCCUGUUGGGAAGUGCAUGUCCCAUUUACUCUUUGAGUUUCUACUUCAGAAGGAAGUGAAUACACUUCCUGCUGUUUGCAGGAGCAGGGCUGAGGUGAGAACAACUCUGGCACUGCAGGAUGCAAGAAACUCCCAGGAGCUGUGGUGCCCAAAGCAGAACACAGGUUACACAAACUCUGCAGCCCUGGAUUGCUCCUUAAAGAAAACUCCAGGGAUAACAUUCCUUUUGAGGUUUGAAGGACUUGCAGUGAAAGAGGAAUGUGAGCAAUUGGAUUUCAACCAGCUUGGCAGAGCCUUGGAUGUUUCUACCAGCCACAAACAUACCC